RNAcentral lists this transfer RNA (69 nucleotides) under Paduniella communis. RNAcentral describes it as "tRNA-Leu". The record is from RNAcentral. Lineage: Eukaryota; Metazoa; Arthropoda; Insecta; Trichoptera; Psychomyiidae.
ACUAUUUUAGCAGAAAAAUGUCAUUAAAUUUAGAGUUUAAUUUAUAUAUAAUUUAUUAUAUAAAUAGUA